CCUGCCCACUGAAUUUGUUUGAAUGGCCGCAGUAAUUUGACUGUGCAAAGGUAGCAUAAUCAUUAGUUUUUUAAUUGAAAGCUUGUAUGAAGGGUUGGACGAGGUAAAAUCUGUCUCUAAUAAAUUUAAUUUAGAAUUUAACUUUUAAGUCAAAAGGCUUAAAUAAUAUUAAAAGACGAGAAGACCCUAUAGAUCUUUAUAUUUAAAAUAUUAAAUUUAAUUAAGAAUUUUUAAAAUUUUAUUAUUUUAAUUAUUUUAUUGGGGUAAUAUAAAGAUUAAAAUAAUUCUUUUUUUUUAUUUACAUAAAUUUAUGAAUUUGUGAUCCAAUUAUAUUGAUUAUAAGAUUAAGUUACCUUAGGGAUAACAGCGUAAUUUUUUUAAAGAGUUCUUAUCGAUAAAAAAGUUUGCGACCUCGAUGUUGGAUUAAAGAUUAUUUCAGGUGCAGAAGCUUGUAAAUUUUGGUCUGUUCGACC
Molecule: ribosomal RNA, 473 nt
Filed under: Nebria brevicollis
Lineage: Eukaryota; Metazoa; Arthropoda; Insecta; Coleoptera; Carabidae
Description: partial 16S ribosomal RNA
Rfam family: Bacterial large subunit ribosomal RNA
Source: RNAcentral